UAUUCUGCCCCACGGGGAAGGAUGAGAAGCUUCGACCAAGGUUCGACUCGAGCGAAGCGAGAGAAACGUUACCGCAGGCAAUGGCCCGAAGGCGAGGCGCUUUAGCGCCGAGUAAUCCUACCCCACCACUG
This 131-nucleotide small RNA is filed under the name Klebsiella pneumoniae. RNAcentral's name for it is "RtT sRNA". It matches the Rfam family "RtT RNA". Rfam says of the family: This family represents a bacterial cis-regulatory element known as RtT RNA. The exact function of RtT is unknown although it is thought that it may be involved in changing the cellular response in relation to amino acid starvation. The record is from RNAcentral. Lineage: Bacteria; Pseudomonadati; Pseudomonadota; Gammaproteobacteria; Enterobacterales; Enterobacteriaceae.